Molecule: long non-coding RNA, 3201 nt
Organism: Cornus florida
Lineage: Eukaryota; Viridiplantae; Streptophyta; Magnoliopsida; Cornales; Cornaceae
Exons: 3
Source: RefSeq, a predicted model, not a curated record
CUCUCUCUCGACCUCUCUCCCUCCAGUCUCCCCCUCCAUACUCUAUAUAUACAACGCAUCCUUCAGAACCAGAACAAGCAAAAUGGGAAACGACGAGGCAAUAUUUUUCACCACACCAGUAACCAAAAAUCCCACAAUACUGACCGGAGAUUUUGAAGAAGAAGCUCAGGAUUAGAUUUUGUGAAAAAUGGAGAAUCAAAGUCAUUUCCAAUGUUGAAACUUAUAUUUCAUUUGAAACAUUGAAUGGCAAUCUCAUUCAGGGCCUAUUGGCAGCAGAAGCAGAGUUUAGAGCGCUACAGAGUGAUUUAAAUCCAAUAUUUCUAUUACCAUUUUCAAUACGAGUUAUAUAUUUGUUGUUACAUGUAUUGAAAAUGGUAAUAAGAAUAUUAAAUUUAAUCUGAAUUCUACAUCGGGUAUAUAUUUGUUGUGAGUUUUAUAUGUACCACUCGCAAUCAUGGUGGACAUGUGAUGAAGUGCUAACAAGCAGACCAAACUUGAAGAGGGUAGAGUUGGUUCGUGAGCAGACCAAACUUGCGCUGGCAGCGCUUAAAUCAGCAGAGCAUUAGAUUUCUGAUCAGAUAUGCAUUUUGGAAAUUGACAAGCGGAAAACAUUUCAUUGAAUGAAAUACAAGAUUUAUUUGCUUGCCUGCAUGGAUGUACGUAAUACGUGUAACAUCAGUAGAGUGUGAUUGAAUGAAGAUCAUGGUGGACAGUUAACAAGCAGCGGAACUGUUGGUUGAGCAAAGAAUGCGGUUUUGAUUCUUGAUAUGUUUACCUGAAGUAUUAAGAUUAUAUCCUAAUCUUAUGCAUUGGUUACCCAAGUUGGUCAGGUUGAUAGACAAAUCUGGUCAAUAGCCACGUUGGGUUGGGGAGGGGGAAAUGCAUUUUUCUCGGUUGUUCGCCCAGGGGAGGUGUGGAUGAGUUUGUUGGGCAUAUUAAGGAAGGGACGUCUUUAGGUGGAGUGAAAGCAUUUGACAAUACAUAAAAUAUUGAAUUAAUGAUUGAUUAAUUGGAGAGCUCCUGUAGCAUUGAUUAAUUGUCUGAAACAGUGUUGCCCUGUUAUUGAAGGUUAGAUUGUUUUCCACUUGAGGGAAGAUUUAUUGACUGAACCAGCAGGGAGAUUUGAUUUAGUUCAAGUUGAAGGUAAUAAAAGAAAAAGGUAGGUUUAGAUAGAAUGUUGGCAAAAGAAAUAGGGAAGGAACAACCGCAUGUGGUUUAUCAUGGGAUAUGACACUAAUUAGAGUUUAAUGAUAAUAAGAAGUUUACAUACCCAACCCCAAGGUGACAUCAUAAAUAUUUGGUUAGCAAUUUGCGGUUCUUGCAUAGGGCGCAUUGUCAUGCAACAACAACUUGAUAAUAUAAUAAUCAUUAUUAAUAAUAGUAGUAGUUUGCAAUUGCUAUGAUUAAUUUUGCUGGAUCUUAGGUUAUUGUUGGUUUUCUUAAUAUGUUGGAACUUUGGAAUUGUACAGUUCCCAUAAAUGUUCCAUUUUUUUGCUCAUGGUGUUAUAUUUAUUAAAAUGCUUGAUUAAAAUUGAUUAAUUAGCCUAAUUAGUCUUUAAUGAGAUUUUUUUUUUUUGAAAUCUAAAAUUUAUUAGAUCUCUCUCUUCUUCCCCCCCUUCUUUGUCCCUCUUUUCUAUUGUGGUCCUUUAUAUUUUGAAAAUAUUUUGUGAUGUAAUUGAAGGAACAGCUUAAUUAUUGUUUGGUGAAUUUAACUUUUUUCUUAUAGUUACAUAAAAUAUAAUAUCUAGCUUGGUUGUUUAGAUGGAGUGAAAGAUCAAAUGUGGUCAUACAUUAUGACUUGGGGUUCUUCCGACUGUUUCUAUCCCAUAAUAAAUGAUGUUUUUAUGGUGUGCUAUUCUGAAUUUAGGUGUUGGUAAAAUCAUAUUGUGUAACUGUAAAACAGUUUUAAAGGCCUCAUCUCCAUCCCUGCUUAACGUUUUACUUUUAUUCAAUUUGCUCUUACAAGUAAUCAUGAGUUUGUAGUUCUAUCUUUCUUAUCCUACUCUGAAAUAUUGCCUGUGGAAUAUCUUUUGAUUGCGACUUCUUACUUUAUUUACUUUAGAUUUGUUGUUGUGGCUUGAUAAUCUGACCUUGACUACCAUAACUGUAUUAUUAUUUGUUUCACUACUGCUUAGUAUCAUGGGAAAUAUUUCAUAUUACAAUUGACUUGACAUAUUGCUGUUAUCAAUUUGCUUGGAAAUUUUGUUUUGUGGUCUUUGACAUUGGUACAUGGUCGUUUAGGACAAGAUUUUUUCAUGGGCUUUUGGAUGUGAAACCAUUUAUUCCUUUAAUUUGAAAUAUCCCUGAAGUUCUGAACUAUGUAGGUUGGCGGAUAAACUAUGGGGUUUCAUUUGUUUAUAUAUGUAUGUUUAAGACAUGUAAUACUGAUGGGGUGAUUAAAUGAUGGUGAUUGUGGUCAUGAAUUGUGGAAAAUUAACAAGCAUGAAAACAGUUCAUUGAAUUUUAUUUGUUUGCCUACAUGGAUGUAUGUAUUACAUCUCAUACUGGUAGAGAGAUUGAAUGAAAGAUGAUGGUGGGCAUUUAUGAUAAAGUGGUAACAAUUAGUUGAACUUUGGUUGAAGAAAAAUGAGUUUUGAUUCUUGAUUGGUUUACCUUAAGUAUCAAAGAUUAAGUCCUAAUCUGUUGCAUAGGUUAUUUGAGUUGAGUUUUGAUUCUUGAUUGGUAUUCUUGAUUGUUGUUCUUCCAGGAGAGGUGUGGAUGAGUUUUUGGGCAUAUUCAAUGGGUUUAAAUUAUGUAUAACUAAGGAAGAAUUUCUAUAGAAUUUUAAUUUUUUGGCUAACGGGUUCCGCAGAAUAUAUGACCCAUGCUCCUUUAGUUUCUAAACGAGGGACCUAAGAACAUAAUUUCCUUUUGCAAUUGAUACGUUGAUACUUGUGUAUUGUGAGAGCUUUUAUCUUUUUUUGUGUAAUUUCCUUUUGCAAUUAACAUAAUUUCCUUUUGCAAGAGAAGAAGAAUAUAGCGAAACAUCACCCUCGGAACUAUUGUAAGAUCUUUAUCUUUCUGUUUUUUCAGGGUCGGAUGUGAGUUAGAGAUAUGAAGUGGAAGAACGCUUGCUCCUAUGAAGGCACGAACUCUGUAGGCAAGAAAACAAAAAAAAAAUGAACAUCUAUGCAAUUAUGAAUUAGAAAGCAAUAAAAAGAUAGUGGCUCUUUUGUACGGAAUGUGGCUGCAUUUAGCAUA